Molecule: non-coding RNA, 475 nt
Organism: Pelobates cultripes (western spadefoot toad)
Lineage: Eukaryota; Metazoa; Chordata; Amphibia; Anura; Pelobatidae
Source: the annotation of a GenBank genome assembly
GUUAUGGGUAUAAAAGUUAGUUGUUGUUUUACCUUCACCAAGUGUCGUCUGGAGUUUGGUACAGGGUGCAAAAGGCACUCAGUGAUCCAAGUCAAGCCUUGGCGACUGGGUCUGAAGUGCUUCAGGGUCCCUGAUAGCUACGAGGAAGCAGACUUGGAGGUAUUCUGUCGGAGUACUGGAGCUCCGUCACAGGAAUUACCGACUGGGGGGAGCAUUUUCUCCAUAGAAGCCAGGGGGAGCAUUCGUCAGUGUUCGCACAGGAAAUCCCAAAAGUGGACAGACAGUUGCCCCCUUUUCUCUGGAACUGUUUGGGACUAUCACCUUGUGGCCGACCGGUCGGUCAGAACUUUACCCGAAUGUCAAUUCCAUUCUACCGAAUGGAUCUAUGCGCUAUUUGGACAUCUUGAGCGCUGAGAUCCGGACUAUUCGGGGAAAUAAGAUUUGUGGAGUUCCUGUGGAUUAUGACUGUUUUUGG